Molecule: non-coding RNA, 3616 nt
Organism: Phoenix dactylifera (date palm)
Lineage: Eukaryota; Viridiplantae; Streptophyta; Magnoliopsida; Arecales; Arecaceae
Source: RefSeq, a predicted model, not a curated record
CCCAGAGGGCCUCCGAUCGCCAAGCUGCUCCGCUGCCUGCUGCCCUGCCUAGUGCCUACGAGCUGCUCCGCUUCCUGCUGCCCUGCCUAGUGCCUACGAACUGCUCCGUUGCCUGCUGCCCUGCCUACGAUGGGCUACGAGCUACGAUCAGCCUAGGGUUAGGCGAACAGGGGUUACAGCUUACGGGACAACCGGACAAGACGUCUUAGCCUCUUAGGCACCAUAGCCCAUCUUCUCCAUUCGCCAUGGGAUUCCCAGAUAACCAGAGUCCAUGGCCCUCUUCUUCUUCCUUCCGACGCUCCAAUCCUCUAACUCUGGCGACGCUCCGCCUCCGGUGCUGCCUCCUCCCGUCCUCCACCUCAACUACAUCAAAUCUGCUGGAAGAACACCAACCCAGUAGUGUUUUUCUUGAGGUACAAGUACAACCUAAUCUACCAGAUGUUAACUUCCUACCGACUCUUCGCCUUUCUUUGAUGCUAUGCACGUGUUUGCUGUUUUGUUCCAAUGAUUUUUUUAUUUUUUUAUAAAAUACUUACCAGAUGCUGUUUUCAGACAAGAGAUGUGGUUCUUGUUCUUUGUUUCUGUUGUUCUUGAUGAUCUCUGAAGGAAUGAAUGCACUUAAUCUGCAGUCCUAGCAUUUAUUUACCUUCUGGUCCCUUGAUUUUCCUUUGUUCAGUGAUCAUCGAUGGAAGAUUUCGAGGUUUUUUCUUGGAAGUAGACCAAUCUUAGGUAUUCUUUUUAUUUUCUAGUAAUUUUAUUUUUGAUUCUGUUCUGUUUUGGAUUUUUUAGGAUUUUCUAAUGUUUAAUCUUUGAAGAAAUUUUUGUUAUGAAUUAUAGAUUCGUUCUGUUUUAUGGAAUUCCAGAGGCAUUUAAAAGCUGACCAUUCAUUUUCUUAACCUUCCACUGCUAUCUUAAUCUGCAGUCCUAGCAUUUAUUUACCUUCUGGUCCCUUGAUUUUUCUUUGUCUAGUGAUGGAAUUGCUACCUAGUCUUGAUGCUACUUCCUUGUGAUCAACUCUUGACCAGUUGACUUAUGUGCUCCCAAAUUUUCUUUACAUAUGUGAACAGCAUACCAUUUAACUCUUUUCACUUUUUUCUUGGUCACUCAUUCUUUAUUAUGAUCCUUUUUCUAGUAUGAUUAUAGGUUAUUGCACUUUGAAGUGCAAUCAGUAUUAUGCUAAUCUAAUUGUUAUGUAAUUCGUUCGAUUUUCUUUUUUGUCAGAAUUCGAGAAAGUUGUGGACAAUAUUCAAGGUUCAAUUCCAAAAGUUGAAUGGAAUUUUGAGGGUACUCAUUGCUUUGACAAUGGGCCACUUACAGCUCAGUACCUAUUUUGUUUUGGACGCAUUGAACUUUUGUUUUUGGCCAGGUCGAUUUUUCUUUCUUUCAAUUAACACAAAUCCUUACAUUCAACCGUCCUUGUUAUUUGGAGCAUGUUAUGUUAUGGCGCAUCACACUUAAAGUUUUAGUAAUUGGUGUUAAAAGUAUUUUAAUAAAUUUUGAGCUUAAAAAUUUGAUUAGUAAUUUUGUAUUUCAAAAAAUGGACGAAUUAUUUUUAAAUAAAAUUUUAAAAUAUUUUAUACUUAUUAAAUUUUUUUAUUAAAAAAAAGGCCUUUCUGUCUUAGGCUUUCAAAUGCAUUAGGCCGGCCCUGUGCCAAUGAGGCAGAUUCUCACAGGACAAAUGGACAAUCAGUUUCUAUGUAGAAUACGAAAACAGAGCAGAGAGGUUCUUAAUGGGAUGAGGAUUGUUCUAAGUGAUCUUUGAAAUUCUAAAAUCAAACUUUAUUACCAUUUUGGAAAUAAUCAGCUAGAAGAGUCCAAGCAGUUUGUGAACUUGAAAAAAAUGGAAAAGGAUCUGUUGUUACCAGAUUUUUCUAUGGUUUUUCAGCUAAGAAUAGUGCAAUCAGUUUAGAACUUCUGAAACGAAGGCAGAACACAUUGUUUGUUAACAGGAGGGGUCCUUGAUGGGAUUUCUCCUGAAAUUUGGAUGGGCAGUGGGGGGAGCAUGGACUGUUCUAGCUGUUUUCAUGGAGUUGAGGCUGAGCUGGAAGGAGAGCAUGGCCCAGAUGUAGAGGGCUUUGGGGGUAAGGAGAGGGGAGGGAUUGGAGUUGGGGUGGAAGAGGUGGGCGAGGCGAGGCUGUUGGGGAUGAAGAUGAGGUGGCCGAUGCAUAAGCUGGCUUGGUUGAGCAUGAUCAUAAGGCGUUGACAGCAACGUGGCCAGUGGUGCCGGCGACGGCGAGGCUGAGGUCACUGAAAUAGGUGAUCUUGGAGAAGCCUUAGUUGAGGUCGAGGUGGCAGCGGGUGCAGACAUGGAGGAGCAUGCAAUGAAGGUGAAGGCGGCAACGAUGGCGAGGAGGAGGGUGCCGGCAACCCACCCAGUGCGCAUGAAGGUGUAGAGGAGGCCAGCAUCGACAAUUGUGAUGCAGAAGAUGUUUGGGAAGGUCUUGAGCUAGGAGGAGAGGUGGGCGGCGGAGGGGUGUGACGGGAGGUGAGGGCUCGUCGAGUCUGUCAGGCCAUGGGAGGCUCUUGCGAAACUGUGAGUUCUUGCUUUGGGGUUAUUCUCGCCUCUAACAAUUUUGAAUCUCCCAGCAAGCCAUCACAGUAAACUCAUAUUGGUUGACAUUGAUGUAUGCCAUUGCUUUAUUCUUCCAUUUUCUAAUCACAGUUGCAGGUGGAUCAAAAACAGCAUUAUUAAUUUUUUACUAGCAGAUGUCUGGAGUGCCUGUUACUGCGUUACAAGUCCAAAGAAGGGUUUUCGUGGAUGGGGAUCUUAAACUUUCCAGAUCACUUGACCUAAGUGACAGUGUUCAUGGUUUUUGACUGAUGCAUCUUUAUUUCAUUGAGGUGAUGGAAUAUGUCAUGCAAACUUAUGUGGCUGUGCAGCUUUCGGCUGCAGAGAAGGAGCUUCACUGGGAGGGAGGGAGGGAGAGAGAGAGAGAGAGAGAGAGAGAGAGAGAGAGAGAGAGAGAGAGAGAGUUCAUCUCUCUCAUGAGCUUGCUGGGUUCACAAAGCAUUUUGUAUUUAGGUCACUGGCUCAGGGUUAAUGACUGUAAAUAUUCUUGAGGAAAAAAUGGGGAGUGCUGCUUUUCAUCCAUUGUCCAUCUAGACCUUAAGGUGUGAGAAGCCGAAUAUGAGCUAGCUGGGGAACUUCCUCGUACAGAAAAUAAGAGCUUCUUUUGUGGUGGGUAGAUGAAAGCUUGGGUUCCCAUCACCGUCAACAUACUGAAGUGGCUGCCUGCAGAUCGAUCAGCUGGCUCGGAAGAGUGGGAGGUUGAAUCAGUGAUAAAUUAUCAAUUUUCAGGUGUUCAUGCAUAUCUUUUCCAGCAGAUCCUGGUGCCUUUGAUGAUAACUCUCUCUCUUCUUAGAGUUCUCUGUAUUUUUGUGUGCUGUCUGCAAAAUGGUUUCCAAUCCAUAUUUGAUGCUCCUUUGAGAUGGGGUUGAGCUACUUCAGUGUUCAUGCUCAUCCUGACACCAAGGCGAUAUGCAUAAAUUGUAGUUCUGAUGUUUAAGUGAUGCUAUUUUAAAAGAUGGCAAAUUGAGUAAUGCAGAGACUGUUCAAACAUUGUUUUAUGACAUGAAACCCUUCCAUUUGCAUGCUCUGUCAUGUAAAUUUCAGCAA